RNAcentral lists this ribosomal RNA (503 nucleotides) under Staphylococcus felis. RNAcentral's name for it is "bacterial LSU rRNA". It matches the Rfam family "Bacterial large subunit ribosomal RNA", at positions 2446 to 2925 of the family's 2925-position model. Lineage: Bacteria; Bacillati; Bacillota; Bacilli; Caryophanales; Staphylococcaceae. The record is from RNAcentral.
CGCUCAACGGAUAAAAGGUACUCCGGGGAUAACAGGCUGAUACCGCCCAAGAGUUCAUAUCGACGGCGGUGUUUGGCACCUCGAUGUCGGCUCAUCACAUCCUGGGGCUGAAGUAGGUCCCAAGGGUAUGGCUGUUCGCCAUUUAAAGUGGUACGCGAGCUGGGUUUAGAACGUCGUGAGACAGUUCGGUCCCUAUCUGCCGUGGGCGUUGGAAGAUUGAGAGGGGUUGCUCCUAGUACGAGAGGACCGGAGUGAACGCACCACUGGUGUUCGGGUUGUCAUGCCAAUGGCAUUGCCCGGUAGCUAAGUGCGGAAAAGAUAAGCGCUGAAAGCAUCUAAGCGCGAAACUUGCCUCAAGAUGAGUCUUCCCUGGGCCUUUAAGGCCCCUGAAGGAACGUUUAAGACUAAGACGUUGAUAGGCUGGGUGUGUAAGUGCAGCGAUGCAUUGAGCUAACCAGUACUAAUGAUCCGUGAGGCUUAACCUUACAACACCGAAGGUGUUU